AGGACGAACGCUGGCGGCGUGCUUAACACAUGCAAGUCGAGCGGAAAGGCCCUUCGGGGUACUCGAGCGGCGAACGGGUGAGUAAUACGUGAGCAACCUGCCCUUAGCUCUGGGAUAGCUCCGGGAAACCGGAAUUAAUACCGGAUAUGACCUAGGCCGACAUCGGCCGUGGUGGAAAGUUUUUCGGCUAGGGAUGGACCCGCGGCCUAUCAGCUAGUUGGUGGGGUAAUGGCCUACCAAGGCGACGACGGGUAG
RNAcentral lists this ribosomal RNA (255 nucleotides) under uncultured bacterium. Its description in RNAcentral is "partial small subunit ribosomal RNA". It matches the Rfam family "Bacterial small subunit ribosomal RNA", at positions 26 to 286 of the family's 1533-position model. The record is from RNAcentral.